UACGUAGGGUGCAAGCGUUGUCCGGAAUUAUUGGGCGUAAAGAGCUCGUAGGCGGUCUGUCGCGUCGGCUGUGAAAAUCCAGGGCUCAACCCUGGACCUGCAUUCGAUACGGGCAGACUAGAGUUCGGCAGGGGAGACUGGAAUUCCUGGUGUAGCGGUGAAAUGCGCAGAUAUCAGGAGGAACACCGGUGGCGAAGGCGGGUCUCUGGGCCGAUACUGACGCUGAGGAGCGAAAGCGUGGGGAGCGAACAGG
RNAcentral lists this ribosomal RNA (253 nucleotides) under uncultured bacterium. RNAcentral's name for it is "partial 16S ribosomal RNA". It matches the Rfam family "Bacterial small subunit ribosomal RNA", at positions 524 to 776 of the family's 1533-position model. The record is from RNAcentral.